GGAAUCUUGCGCAAUGGCCGAGAGGCUGACGCAGCGACGCCGCGUGUGGGAGGACGCCCUUCGGGGUGUAAACCACUGUUGCCCGGGACGAACAUGAGCAUUCGUGCUUACUGACGGUACCGGGUGAGGAAGCACCGGCUAACUCCGUGCCAGCAGCCGCGGUAAUACGGAGGGUGCGAGCGUUGUCCGGAAUCACUGGGCGUAAAGGGCGCGUAGGCGGCAGGCCAAGCGUGGGGUGAAAGUCCGGGGCUCAACUCCGGAUCGGCCUUGCGGACUGGCCUGCUCGAGCACUGUAGAGGCAGGUGGAAUUCCGGGUGUAGCGGUGGAAUGCGUAGAGAUCCGGAAGAACACCGGUGGCGAAGGCGGCCUGCUGGGCAGUGGCUGACGCUGAGGCGCGACAGCGUGGGGAGCAAAC
This 415-nucleotide ribosomal RNA is filed under the name uncultured bacterium. Its description in RNAcentral is "bacterial SSU rRNA". It matches the Rfam family "Bacterial small subunit ribosomal RNA", at positions 358 to 773 of the family's 1533-position model. The record is from RNAcentral.